This 274-nucleotide ribosomal RNA is filed under the name uncultured bacterium. RNAcentral's name for it is "partial 16S ribosomal RNA". It matches the Rfam family "Bacterial small subunit ribosomal RNA", at positions 523 to 796 of the family's 1533-position model. The record is from RNAcentral.
AUACGGAGGGUGCGAGCGUUGUUCGGAAUUAUUGGGCGUAAAGAGCAUGUAGGCGGUCUGUUAAGUCUGGUGUGAAAGCCCGGGGCUCAACCCCGGAAGUGCAUUGGAUACUGGCAGACUUGAGUAUGCGAGAGGAAAGCGGAAUUCCGAGUGUAGGAGUGAAAUCCGUAGAUAUUCGGAGGAACACCAGUGGCGAAGGCGGCUUUCUGGACCAAUACUGACGCUGAGAUGCGAAAGCGUGGGGAGCAAACAGAAUUAGAAACCCCGGUAGUCC